Otolemur garnettii (small-eared galago) is the source of this 79-nucleotide small nucleolar RNA. NCBI's taxonomy places the organism in Eukaryota, Metazoa, Chordata, Mammalia, Primates, Galagidae. The record is from Ensembl.
GGUCAAUGAUGACCUGGCAUGUAUUCUGAAUCUAAAGUUGUUUAUUACUAUUUUAGCUCUAGAAUUACUCUGAGACCUG